Molecule: long non-coding RNA, 740 nt
Organism: Quercus robur (English oak)
Lineage: Eukaryota; Viridiplantae; Streptophyta; Magnoliopsida; Fagales; Fagaceae
Exons: 3
Source: RefSeq, a predicted model, not a curated record
ACAUAAACCAGUCAGUACACUCAUUGCAUUAAGAAACGGUAUGUUAAGGAAAUUUUAGUUUUGUUCUGACAAUUCCAUAGUAUUCUCUUACAAGCUUUAUUCUGUUACAUGAUGCGCCUUCUUUCUCCAUGUGUUUAAACUGUGUUCCAACAUUUUCAUCAAGUAAGAGUAUCCUGUGAGGUGUAUGUAAAUACGAACAACCAGACAAUUGUCCACCAAGAUUGCCACCCUGAGCGAAGGACUGAACCUAUAGAGUUUAGAGGCUGGCUACAAAUUCCAACAAUAGCAAAGUGAAAAGAGAGGCUCCUCAUAACUAGAGCGCAUGCACAGGAUUUGAUAUCUUUGGAUGGUAGAAAAGUUUGUAAAUAUGGAACUCGGAGAAGAUAGCUCCAGGUUUGGGUCUUUACCAGUCACGACUUCAAGGAAUCUGUCAUCAUCAUCUUCGGUAUUCUUUUCAGCGAAUCAGUCACCCUUCUUCUCUCCUAGAUCACCAACAUGUCAUUUAUCAGAAUCCAAACAGUCCAACAUUCAAUGUGAUGGCAUUCAUUCAAGUAUUGAUCCUCUUAAACUUUAUUAGGAUGAAAAUAUGCAAAGCGUAAUGGAAAGGAAAGUGCGUCCUGUUAGGAAAUUUUUUUAAAUUAUAUCCAAUUAACUUGCAGAAGAUGGAGGAUAUGGGAAUGCAAUUUGUAAAUCUAUUAUCAAGCACUAAAUUAGUAGAUUUUCAAAUUUUCUAUUUUCAA